Molecule: unclassified non-coding RNA, 347 nt
Filed under: soil metagenome
Description: partial contains 5.8S ribosomal RNA, internal transcribed spacer 2, and large subunit ribosomal RNA
Rfam family: 5.8S ribosomal RNA (bases 1-120)
Source: RNAcentral
GAUGAAGAACGCAGUGAAAUGCGAUAAUUAAUGUGAAUUGCAGAAUUCAGUGAAUCAUCGAGUCUUUGAACGCACAUUGCACCCCCUGGUAUUCCGGGGGGCAUGCCUGUCCGAGCGUCAUUGCUGCCCUCAAGCACGGCUUGUGUGUUGGGCUUCCGUCCCUGGCAACGGGGACGGGCCCAAAAGGCAGUGGCGGCACCAUGUCUGGUCCUCGAGCGUAUGGGGCUUUGUCACCCGCUCCCGUAGGUCCAGCUGGCAGCUAGCCUCGCAACCAAUCUUUUUAACCAGGUUGACCUCGGAUCAGGUAGGGAUACCCGCUGAACUUAAGCAUAUCAAUAAGCGGAGGA